UGCAGUCGUACGGUAGAGAUUCUUUCGGGGAUCUUGAGAGUGGCGCACGGGUGCGUAACGCGUAUGCAACCUACCUGUUACAGGGGGAUAGCCCGGGGAAACCCGGAUUAAUACCCCAUGGUAUAUAGAUACCGCAUGGUAUUUAUAUUAAAGAUUUAUCGGUAACAGAUGGGCAUGCGUAGGAUUAGCUAGUUGGUAAGGUAACGGCUUACCAAGGCUACGAUCCUUAGGGGUUCUGAGAGGAAGGUCCCCCACACUGGCACUGAGAUACGGGCCAGACUCCUACGGGAGGCAGCAGUAGGGAAUAUUGGGCAAUGGAGGGAACUCUGACCCAGCCAUGCCGCGUGCAGGAAGACGGCCUUACGGGUUGUAAACUGCUUUUAUCAGGGAAGAAAAAGCCUAUGCGUAGGAAAUUGCCGGUACCUGAUGAAUAAGCACCGGCUAACUCCGUGCCAGCAGCCGCGGUAAUACGGAGGGUGCAAGCGUUGUCCGGAUUUAUUGGGUUUAAAGGGUGCGUAGGCGGCUUUAUAAGUCAGCGGUGAAAUGCCAGGGCUCAACCCCGGCACUGCCGUUGAUACUGUAUAGCUUGAGUGCGUUCUGGGUACAUGGAAUUUAUGGUGUAGCGGUGAAAUGCAUAGAUACCAUAAGGAACACCGAUAGCGAAGGCAUUGUACUGGGACGUAACUGACGCUGAUGCACGAAAGCGUGG
RNAcentral lists this ribosomal RNA (709 nucleotides) under bacterium SVAL2.29. Its description in RNAcentral is "bacterial SSU rRNA". It matches the Rfam family "Bacterial small subunit ribosomal RNA", at positions 56 to 764 of the family's 1533-position model. The record is from RNAcentral.